RNAcentral lists this long non-coding RNA (364 nucleotides) under Triticum aestivum (bread wheat). RNAcentral's name for it is "long non-coding RNA (TAES_LNC001005)". Lineage: Eukaryota; Viridiplantae; Streptophyta; Magnoliopsida; Poales; Poaceae. The record is from RNAcentral.
CCUGCUCCUGUUGUGGCUGCUACUGGCUGGGACGCCGCGGUGCAACCCCCUGCUCAAGGCUGGGAGUAGACUAGGAUGUCCCCUUGAGAUGUCUUUGCGGCUUAAAGUUCAUAUUUUGUGAGGCAUGAAUGGAUAUCUAGAAUCUGAUGCGAUCUGCUAUAUCUACCCUAUGGACAAAAAACCCGUGUUUUAGGAUUUUCUAGAUGAACUUGUUAUCUCUGCUAUCGACACUGUGAUGAGGGAGAGGGAGACUGAAAGUUGUGUUAUAAGUUUGGCUUUCAACUUGUCUGUCUUAAUUUUGCAGUUCUUAUACUUGAUGUUUCUAUGCAUUUUUGCUGGCUGUAUCAAUGCUUGCUGUUUGGUG